This 82-nucleotide non-coding RNA is filed under the name marine eukaryotic metagenome. RNAcentral's name for it is "Cyclic di-GMP-I riboswitch". It matches the Rfam family "c-di-GMP-I riboswitch aptamer". Rfam says of the family: GEMM was predicted in a large-scale screen for bacterial structured RNA regulatory elements. Genes associated with GEMM are involved in a diverse array of functions, including chemotaxis regulation, signal transduction, secretion and chitin. The record is from RNAcentral.
CCGAUAAAGGCAAACUUAUUGAAAAAUAAGGACGCAAAACUUAAGGGCCUUAACCUAUAUGGAAAGGUAGCCAGUUGCCGAA